RNAcentral lists this ribosomal RNA (233 nucleotides) under uncultured bacterium. RNAcentral describes it as "partial 16S ribosomal RNA". It matches the Rfam family "Bacterial small subunit ribosomal RNA", at positions 100 to 334 of the family's 1533-position model. The record is from RNAcentral.
CGGGACGGGUGAGUAAUGUCUGGGAAACUGCCCGAUGGAGGGGGAUAACUACUGGAAACGGUAGCUAAUACCGCAUAACGUCGCAAGACCAAAGAGGGGGACCUUCGGGCCUCUUGCCAUCGGAUGUGCCCAGAUGGGAUUAGCUAGUAGGUGGGGUAACGGCUCAUCUAGGCGACGAUCCCUAGCUGGUCUGAGAGGAUGACCAGCCACACUGGAACUGAGACACGGUCCAG